AACGAACGCUGGCGGCAUGCCUAAUACAUGCAAGUCGAACGAACACUUCGGUGUUAGUGGCGCACGGGUGCGUAACGCGUGGGAAUCUACCCUUGGGUUCGGAAUAACAGUUGGAAACGACUGCUAAUACCGGAUGAUGACGUAAGUCCAAAGAUUUAUCGCCCAGGGAUGAGCCCGCGUAGGAUUAGCUAGUUGGUGAG
Molecule: ribosomal RNA, 200 nt
Filed under: uncultured bacterium
Lineage: Bacteria
Description: partial 16S ribosomal RNA
Rfam family: Bacterial small subunit ribosomal RNA
Source: RNAcentral